Molecule: long non-coding RNA, 1458 nt
Organism: Leopardus geoffroyi (Geoffroy's cat)
Lineage: Eukaryota; Metazoa; Chordata; Mammalia; Carnivora; Felidae
Exons: 4
Source: RefSeq, a predicted model, not a curated record
GAGCUACCUGGAAGGGAAAGUACAUUAUUACCCAAUAAUUAUGGAUUGCAGGUGCCCAUUAGGUUGAAGAAAAAGUUCAAAACACUGAGAUCCAGGGUAUCGAGUACAGCAAAUCCGUGUGUGUAUUGGAAUAGGAGAUUUACCACCAGAACUGAGGAAAUAGGACAGAUGGAAAAGCAAGGGGAAGGAAGUGGUUUUGAAGCGCCAUCAAGAGAAGGAAGAGUUCAGAUUCUGCUGCAGAGCCCAGCUGUGAACGAGUCAGGAGCUCCCACCUCUACCCGAAAACCGGAGGAGAGGGAAGUAGGCUAGAACCCAACACAGUGCUUCCAGAAAGCACUUCAGAAGGCAAAGGAGCAAGCUGAGGAAAGAUGUCUCUGCUGUCUCACUGAGCUCCCUGCGGGGAAACCGACUCUCAGGUGAGUGUUUCUCUGACUGCGUUUCCUGGCAUAGCAACACCACUUCAUGCGAGUUCACCCGGGAGUGACCAGCCCCUGGCGUUUCCACCAGGAGGACUUAUAGAGUGUUAUCACAGCUCCCCUCACCUCACAGGCUGUGAAAGGAGGUUCACAUUUUCAGCCCCGCUUCUCCUUCCAUCUACGAACAAGCAGAGAGUGGAAAUCUGUCACUGGGAGUAGACCUUGGGAUGGGGCCUGAAUGUACUCAUGGGAGAGCUCAACCAGAAUUAGUCCAAAUAAAAAGUCAGACUGUCAGUGCUUCCCACCACCCUGCCCAGGGUCAUCUGCCCUCUGCGGUGGGCAGAGCUUCUCCCAGCCUGCUGCUUGAACAGCUGCUAAGGGGCUGGUCUCCCUCACCUACCCCUGCAGGAGACCAUUAGCAAGCUGCUGGGAGCUGGGGCUCCGGUUGCUGAGAACAGGCUGGGCUCAGAGCUGCCAGCCAGCCCAUCGAUCAUGGAUUUCACCGGGAUGCUUUCUGACCUUUCAAGGUUAGUGAAGACUCAGCAGUCACAUACCGUUCUGUGAUUAAAUGUCUCAAUCCUGAGCACGGUCUAUUAUUUUGCAAUUCAGAGAAGAAAAGGGACAGUACUUAGUAGCAAGGUGGUUUUUAGUGACAGCAACACAAUGACACGGUUUAAAAGGUUUUAAAGAAACAAAGAUGGUUACAACUCUCACAAGUUCUAUUUUUUGCAUAUUGUUUUGUUUUUUUAUAUUUGUGUAGCUAUGCUGAUAUUUUCUGCACUUAAUAGCACAUAUUUUUUGUUCAAGUAUAGUUGACACACAACGUUACGUUAGUUUCAGGUAUACAACGUGGUGAUUUGACAUCUCUAUGUGUUAUUCAGGCUCAUCACAAGGGUAACUACCAUCUGUCACCAUGCAACACCAUUACUACGUCAUUGACUAAAUUCCCUAUGCUGUACCUUUCACCCAUGUGACUUAUUCACUCCGUAACUGGAAACUUGUAUCUCCCACUCCCCUUCACCCGUUUUGCCCAUCCUCCUCA